AUUGAACGCUGGCGGCAUGCCUUACACAUGCAAGUCGAACGGCAGCACGGGUGCUUGCACCUGGUGGCGAGUGGCGAACGGGUGAGUAAUACAUCGGAACGUACCUUAUCGUGGGGGAUAACGCAGCGAAAGCUGUGCUAAUACCGCAUACGCCCUGAGGGGGAAAGCGGGAGAUCGCAAGACUUCGCGCGAUUAGAGCGGCCGAUGCCUGAUUAGCUAGUUGGUGGGGUAAAAGCCCACCAAGGCGACGAUCAGUAGCUGGUCUGAGAGGACGAUCAGCCACACUGGGACUGAGACACGGCCCAGACUCCUACGGGAGGCAGCAGUGGGGAAUUUUGGACAAUGGGGGCAACCCUGAUCCAGCAAUGCCGCGUGAGUGAAGAAGGCCUUCGGGUUGUAAAGCUCUUUUGUCAGGGAAGAAACACCGGCUCUAACACAGUCCGGGAAUGACGGUACCUGAAGAAUAAGCACCGGCUAACUACGUGCCAGCAGCCGCCGUAA
This 501-nucleotide ribosomal RNA is filed under the name uncultured bacterium. Its description in RNAcentral is "partial 16S ribosomal RNA". It matches the Rfam family "Bacterial small subunit ribosomal RNA", at positions 30 to 523 of the family's 1533-position model. The record is from RNAcentral.